This 346-nucleotide ribosomal RNA is filed under the name uncultured eukaryote. RNAcentral's name for it is "SSU rRNA". It matches the Rfam family "Eukaryotic small subunit ribosomal RNA", at positions 594 to 945 of the family's 1831-position model. The record is from RNAcentral.
AUAGCGUAUAUUAAAGUUGUUGCGGUUAAAAAGCUCGUAGUUGGAUCUCAGUUCCAGACGGGUGGUCCGCCUACCGGUGGUUACUGCCUGUUCUGAACAGCCAGCCGGUUUCUCUUGAUGAUCUUCACCGGUUGUCUUGAGUGACCGGCAAAUUUACCUUGAAAAAAUUAGAGUGCUCAAGGCAGGCGUGACGCCUGAACAAUGGUGCAUGGAAUAAUGGAAUAGGGCCUCGGUUCUAUUUUGUUGGUUUUCGGAACACGAGGUAAUGAUUAAGAGGGACAGACGGGGGCAUUCGUAUUGCGACGCUAGAGGUGAAAUUCUUGGACCGUCGCAAGACGAACUACUG